GGAGUCUGGGCCGUGUCUCAGUCCCAAUGUGGCCGUCCGGCCUCUCAGCCCGGCUACUGAUCGUCGCUUUGGUGGGCCGUUACCCCGCCAACUGGCUAAUCAGACGCGGGCCCAUCCCGUACCACCGGAGUUUUUCACACUGUAAGAUGCCUUACCGUGCGCUUAUGCGGUAUUAUCAGUCGUUUCCAACUGCUAUCCCCCGGUACGGGGCAGGUUGCCCACGCGUUACUCACCCGUUCGCCACUAAGUAUAGACAUGUUUUCUGCCGAAGCUUCAAACGGCGUCUAUACCCCGUUCGACUUGCAUGUGUUAGGCACGCCGCCAGCGUUCAUC
This 333-nucleotide ribosomal RNA is filed under the name uncultured Coprococcus sp. Its description in RNAcentral is "partial 16S ribosomal RNA". Lineage: Bacteria; Bacillati; Bacillota; Clostridia; Lachnospirales; Lachnospiraceae. The record is from RNAcentral.